ACGAACGCUGGCGGCAUGCCUCACACAUGCAAGUCGAACGAUCCCUUCGGGGAUAGUGGCGCACGGGUGCGUAACGCGUGGGAACCUGCCCUUAGGUUCGGAAUAACUCAGAGAAAUUUGAGCUAAUACCGGAUAAUGUCUUCGGACCAAAGAUUUAUCGCCUUUGGAUGGGCCCGCGUUGGAUUAGCUAGUUGGUGGGGUAAAGGCCUACCAAGGCGACGAUCCAUAGCUGGUCUGAGAGGAUGAUCAGCCACACUGGGACUGAGACACGGCCCAGACUCCUACGGGAGGCAGCAGUGGGGAAUAUUGGACAAUGGGCGAAAGCCUGAUCCAGCAAUGCCGCGUGAGUGAUGAAGGCCUUAGGGUUGUAAAGCUCUUUUACCCGGGAUGAUAAUGACAGUACCGGGAGAAUAAGCCCCGGCUAACUCCGUG
RNAcentral lists this ribosomal RNA (432 nucleotides) under uncultured bacterium. Its description in RNAcentral is "partial 16S ribosomal RNA". It matches the Rfam family "Bacterial small subunit ribosomal RNA", at positions 29 to 507 of the family's 1533-position model. The record is from RNAcentral.